GUAGUCCACUAGCAGACCCAUGACUGCCGCCAUCGUGCCCAGGAAGCGAUUUUCCGUCGCCAACCCUCACUGCCGCCGCCGCCCACCAGGCCCAGGAUGAGCUCAGCGUUUUCCCUUCAGUGUCUGUAGCCAUAGCUACGGUGCUUCCGUCGCGCUUGACAAUUGAGGCGCGCACUGUGCCUGCGCUGCGCCUGGCGAAAGCCCCUCCCCCGUCCCACCGGAGAGGGCUAGGCCUUCUGGGUCGGGGCGCUGUGAGGCCUGAAAUUUACUAUUAAUUACACCGGACAAAAGGAUCUUUGAGAUAAGUGUACCUCAAAGCAUUUCUCUCCUGUUUUCAAACAGGAGAGAAAUGCUUUGUCUUAGUUACUUUUCUAUCACUGUGCUAAGAUAUCAUGACCAAGGAUGCUUACAGAAGUAACAUUUGGUUGGGUACCUAGAGUUUCAGAAGGUAAGUUCAUGACCAUCAUGACAGGGACCAUAGUGUCAGACAGGAAUGGCAGGCAGAGAACCAGACAGAACAGUGGAUCUGAGAGCUUACAUCCUGAUCCACAAGUUUGAGGCAAAGAGCUAACUGAAAAAUAAUGUGGGAUUUUAAAACUUCAAAGCCCACCCAUAGUGACACACCUCUUCAACAAGAUCACACUUCCUAAUUUUUCCACCAAAGGGGGACCAUAUUUUCAAACAUAUGAUACUGUAGGGGUCAUUUUCAUUCAAAGAACUACACUCCUCAAUAGCUUCCUACGUAGCCAAGAAUUAAGAGAAAAAAUUUCAAUGUCCCAAAGCAUCCCAGGCAGACUCUUGUGUGCUGUUGUUGUUGCUGCUGUUACGUUUUUGAGACAGAUGUUCUUUCUGUAGACUGUCAUGUGAUCUUCUUGAUAAUACCCUUUGGUUCACUAUAGUAUUUUACUUUGAUGAAGUCCAAACUUUUAUUGAUUUUCUAUGAUUUUUAUUUCAUAUCUAAGUAUUCACUGUUGAAUUUAACAUCAUGAAGAUCUACUUCUAUGUAAGCUACACAUAAUUAUAGCUCUUAUAUUUGGGCCUUUGAUCCAUUUGGGGUUGACUUUGUAAUGGUAGGGUUCUCAUUUUACCUUUUUUAAAAAUCUAUGUUUAUUUUCUCAGUGUGUAACUCUCUGUGUGUACAUAUGUAUGUGUGUAUCUGUGAUGACCAAAAGAGGGUGUCAGAGCCCCCAGAGCUGGAGUUAGAGGUAAUUGUGAGCUACCCAGCAUAGAUGCUAGGAACUGAACUUAGUUCUUUGGAUGAGAAUCAAGUUCUCUUAACCACAGAGCCAUCUCCCCAGCCCCCAUUUACCCUUUAAAUGCAUAUUGUUUACAUUUUGUUUGCAAAUAUUGACAUUAACCCAAGGUAAUCAUUGUUCUUCCUACUAAUACUAAACUACUUUCCCAAUCUGCAAGUUUAUGUUAAUUUCUUUCUUUUCUUUAUCAAAGUUGUUUUUCAAACCUAGAAUUGAGCAUUACCUUCCUGAAUAUAUUUAUUCUAUUAAGGUCUCAGAUCGACUAGUGGACAUUGAAAUGGAUGUUUUGUAAAUGAAGUUUUCCCAUGACAUAAGGUAAAGGCAUAAAGGUACUCUGUGUUCCUAUCUACACAUGAACACAUCAGCAUCUACUGAAGCUAUGCCUUGCUUUCUCACCCAACAACUGCCAGGCUGCUGAAACUGAUAAGCACAGACAGGGAAGCCUGAUUGCUGAGGUUGGCUGAUGGCCAUCCCAAACCCUAAAAUAACUACCAUCACAUUUCACUAACAAGGGAGAGAAUGAUGCAAGUCCAGAUUUGUUUUGCUGAAGGCUGGGAGCCACAAAGGAGGAAGGAAAUACAGCACAGUGAUGAAGCUACACAAGAGAGAUGACAGCCUUUCUUUCCUUAGAAGACAAGAUGGAGCUGAUCCCUAUUUGAUUCCCAGUGUGGAGGAUUUCUCACACUGGUACUCCUCCAGUGGGCUGUGGUAGGGCCAGCCUCAAACUGCGAAACACACAAAGAUGAUGUUGAACUUCUGAUCAUCCUGACUGCACUUCCUUAUUGGGAUUACAUGUGUAUACCAAACACAAGGCUUCAUGGAUGCAAGGUGUCUUUAGAGGAGCUCAGUACCACUCAGUGGUUGCUCCAACCUACUCAGUGAUCUGUGCUUUGGGAGGUGCUGACAAGUCCUCAGUGGCUCGCUGGGCACUCCAGUCUUUAGUAGGGAACUGCUGGAUGGGUACAGAGGGCACCUCAGACCAGUCUGCCACUUCUGGUUAAGCAGCAGUGAACUCAGGAGCUGGGACAGUCCAUUCACACUGGAAUUCCUCCUUGGUCAUGGAAUGUAUCUCCAUUUCAUGUUUCAAGUUUUGUCAAAGAGAUUCAGCAAUAAAAAUAGCAUGGUACUUGCUUAACGAUGAGCUAUUGACCAUUGGGAUAGAAUUGAGGUCCACCACUCAAAAGUACACUCCUACAGUCAUAGGAUCUUUGAAAAAUAAUCUGAUUUAUUAGGGAAAAACAGCAUAUUAAUGGUGCUUGCUAAGUUAUAUACAUCUACAUAAAAAAGAAGCUAGAUCUCUAUCACUCACAAUGCACAAUAUUACAUUAGAAGUAUCACAGAAGAACUGCAAGUUUUUCAUGAUAUCCUAAAAGUAACAGAAAAAAAGUAGUGGACACCUUUGAAUUUGCAGGAAAGAAUUUUCUGAAUAGGACCAAAAUAGCAUAGGCACAAACCUGAAGACCAUCAACUAAUAAAUGGGACGUCAUAAAACUGAAAUAUAUUUUGCACUUCAUCCUUUAGGUAAUAAAGCAGCCUACAGAAUGGGAAAAAUAGUUUUCAAAUGCAUGUAAAACUAACUUUAUUUCUAUGGUAGGCCUUUUUAUUGCUUCCCUUUGCAUAUCUGUAUCAUUUGCUUUUUUUUCCUUUUUUCAUUUAUUUGUUUAAACAUCCUGCUAACAGCUCACUUUCUCCUCUCAUCCCAAUAACACCCUUACCCCCAAUCCUCGAGUUUCCCCUCCCAUUCUCUGAGGAGAAUAGGUGACUCCCACAUGGGUACCAACCCACCCUUGCACAUCAAGUCACAGCAGGAUUAAGUGUAUCUUCUCCCACAGAAUAUAGACAAGGGAUCCCAGCUAGGGAAAAAAGGAUCCAAAGACAGGUAACAGAGUCAGAGACAGCUCCACUAGAAUUGUUAGGGGACCCUCAUUGAGACCAAGCUGCACAUCUGCUACAUAUGUGUAGGGUGGUAGAUUCAGCCCAUGCAUGCUCUCCAUUUGGGUGGUUCAGUCUCUGUGAGCCCCCAUAGGCCCAGGUUAAUUUACUCUGGAGGUCUUCUUGUGGUUCCCUUGAACCCUCCAGGUCACUCAUUCCAAUGUGACUCCCCAAGCUCGGCCUAAUGUUUGCCUGUGGAUCUCUGCAUCUGUUUCCAUCAACUGUGAAAUGAAGUCUCCCAAAAAACAGUUAUGCUAGG
Psammomys obesus (fat sand rat) is the source of this 3444-nucleotide long non-coding RNA. RefSeq lists it as uncharacterized. The transcript has 3 exons. The record is from RefSeq and is a predicted model, not a curated record. NCBI's taxonomy places the organism in Eukaryota, Metazoa, Chordata, Mammalia, Rodentia, Muridae.